RNAcentral lists this ribosomal RNA (250 nucleotides) under uncultured bacterium. RNAcentral's name for it is "partial 16S ribosomal RNA". It matches the Rfam family "Bacterial small subunit ribosomal RNA", at positions 87 to 339 of the family's 1533-position model. The record is from RNAcentral.
CUGGAUUAGUGGCGGACGGGUGAGUAACACGUAAGUAAUCAACCCAUGACAGAAGGAUAACUAAGAGAAAUUUUAGCUAAAACUUCAUAAAUUAAGACUACGGGAGUAGACUUAAAGAAAACUGAGGUGGUCAUGGACGAGCUUGCGACUGAUUAGCCAGUUGGUGAGGUAACGGCCCACCAAAGCAACGAUCAGUAGCCGACCUGAGAGGGUGAUCGGCCACAUUGGUACUGAGAACGGACCAAACUCC